CUGGAAACCAGCCACCGUCGCGUGCAGGAAGACGGCCCUAUGGGUUGUAAACUGCUUUCACCCUUGGGAAAAAGUGCCCUACGUGUAGGUUUUUGUAGGUACCCCCCCGAAUACGGACCGGCUAAUUCCAAUGCCAGCAGCCGCGGUAAUAAUGA
This 155-nucleotide ribosomal RNA is filed under the name uncultured bacterium. RNAcentral describes it as "partial 16S ribosomal RNA". The record is from RNAcentral.